ACUCCUACGGGAGGCAGCAGUGGGGAAUUUUGGACAAUGGGCGAAAGCCUGAUCCAGCAAUGCCGCGUGUGUGAAGAAGGCCUUCGGGUUGUAAAGCACUUUUGUCCGGAAAGAAAUCCUUGGCUCUAAUACAGUCGGGGGAUGACGGUACCGGAAGAAUAAGCACCGGCUAACUACGUGCCAGCAGCCGCGGUAAUACGUAGGGUGCGAGCGUUAAUCGGAAUUACUGGGCGUAAAGCGUGCGCAGGCGGUUUGCUAAGACCGAUGUGAAAUCCCCGGGCUCAACCUGGGAACUGCAUUGGUGACUGGCAGGCUAGAGUAUGGCAGAGGGGGGUAGAAUUCCACGUGUAGCAGUGAAAUGCGUAGAGAUGUGGAGGAAUACCGAUGGCGAAGGCAGCCCCCUGGGCCAAUACUGACGCUCAUGCACGAAAGCGUGGGGAGCAAACAGGAUUAGAUACCCCUGUAGUCCCAUG
RNAcentral lists this ribosomal RNA (473 nucleotides) under uncultured organism. Its description in RNAcentral is "partial 16S ribosomal RNA". It matches the Rfam family "Bacterial small subunit ribosomal RNA", at positions 335 to 799 of the family's 1533-position model. The record is from RNAcentral.